Molecule: microRNA precursor, 206 nt
Filed under: Oryza rufipogon (brownbeard rice)
Lineage: Eukaryota; Viridiplantae; Streptophyta; Magnoliopsida; Poales; Poaceae
Description: MIR812 microRNA precursor family
Rfam family: MIR812 microRNA precursor family
Source: Rfam by way of RNAcentral
AACAAGACAAACCCUAGGUUUCUGUGUCCAACGUUUGACCGUCCGUCUUAUUUGAAAAAAUUAUAAAAAAAAUUAAAAAGACAAGUCACGCAUAAAGUAUUAAUCAUGUUUAUCAUCUAACAACAAUGAAAAUACUAAUUAUAAAAAAGUUUAAUAUAAGACGAAGAGUCAAAUAUUGGACACGAAAAUUUAUGGUUUGUCUUUUU